AGAGUUUGAUCCUGGCUCAGGAUGAACGCUGGCGGCGUGCUUAACACAUGCAAGUCGAACGAACCUUCGGGUUAGUGGCGGACGGGUGAGUAACGCGUGGGAAUCUGCCCUCAGGAGGGGGAUAACGGUUGGAAACGACCGCUAAUACCCCAUAUGCCGAGAGGUGAAAUGAAUUUCGCCUGAGGAUGAGCCCGCGUCUGAUUAGCUAGUUGGUGAGGUAAAGGCUCACCAAGGCUUCGAUCAGUAGCUGGUCUGAGAGGAUGAUCAGCCACACUGGGACUGAGACACGGCCCAGACUCCUACGGGAGGCAGCAGUGGGGAAUUUUCCGCAAUGGGCGAAAGCCUGACGGAGCAACGCCGCGUGAGGGAUGAAGGCCUCUGGGCUGUAAACCUCUUUUCUCAAGGAAGAAGAUAUGACGGUACUUGAGGAAUAAGCCACGGCUAAUUCCGUGCCAGCAGCCGCGGUAAUACGGGAGUGGCAAGCGUUAUCCGGAAUUAUUGGGCGUAAAGCGUCCGCAGGCGGCCUUUCAAGUCUGCUGUUAAAGCGUGGAGCUUAACUCCAUCUAGGCAGUGGAAACUGAUGGGCUUGAGUGUGGUAGGGGCAGAGGGAAUUCCCGGUGUAGCGGUGAAAUGCGUAGAUAUCGGGAAGAACACCAGUGGCGAAGGCGCUCUGCUGGGCCAUAACUGACGCUCAUGGACGAAAGCCAGGGGAGCGAAAGGGAUUAGAUACCCCUGUAGUCCUGGCCGUAAACGAUGAACACUAGGUGUCGGGGGAAUCGACCCCCUCGGUGUCGUAGCCAACGCGUUAAGUGUUCCGCCUGGGGAGUACGCACGCAAGUGUGAAACUCAAAGGAAUUGACGGGGGCCCGCACAAGCGGUGGAGUAUGUGGUUUAAUUCGAUGCAACGCGAAGAACCUUACCAGGGUUUGACAUCCUGCGAACCUCUAAGAAAUUAGAGGGUGCCUUCGGGAGCGCAGUGACAGGUGGUGCAUGGCUGUCGUCAGCUCGUGUCGUGAGAUGUUGGGUUAAGUCCCGCAACGAGCGCAACCCACGUUUUUAGUUGCCAGCAUUCAGUUGGGCACUCUAGAGAGACCGCCGGUGAUAAACCGGAGGAAGGUGUGGAUGACGUCAAGUCAUCAUGCCCCUUACAUCCUGGGCUACACACGUACUACAAUGCUACGGACAAAGGGCAGCAAACUCGCGAGAGCAAGCAAAUCCCAUAAACCGUGGCUCAGUUCAGAUCGUAGGCUGCAACUCGCCUACGUGAAGCAGGAAUCGCUAGUAAUCGCAGGUCAGCAUACUGCGGUGAAUACGUUCCCGGGCCUUGUACACACCGCCCGUCACACCAUGGAAGUUGGCCACGCCCGAAGUCGUUACUCCAACCCUUGUGGAGGAGGACGCCGAAGGUGGGGCUGAUGACUGGGGUGAAGUCGUAACAAGGUAGCCGUACCGGAAGGUGCGGCUG
RNAcentral lists this ribosomal RNA (1465 nucleotides) under Prochlorococcus sp. AG-409-G20. RNAcentral describes it as "bacterial SSU rRNA". It matches the Rfam family "Bacterial small subunit ribosomal RNA". The record is from RNAcentral. Lineage: Bacteria; Bacillati; Cyanobacteriota; Cyanophyceae; Synechococcales; Prochlorococcaceae.